Pecten maximus is the source of this 1059-nucleotide RNA transcript. RefSeq lists it as uncharacterized. The transcript has 4 exons. The record is from RefSeq and is a predicted model, not a curated record. NCBI's taxonomy places the organism in Eukaryota, Metazoa, Mollusca, Bivalvia, Pectinida, Pectinidae.
UUGAUUGGCUGCCAUCGGAAGAAAAUUUCUAUCGGCGAUUUUCAUUGGUCAACCUCAAAAAGAGUGUUUUUUACCAGACGACAUCUCGAAGUAGGAAAGGCGCUAGGAUACAAACUCGUUAAAAAGUAACCAUAGAAGAAUUGAUAUAAUCUUAUUACAUGCAAAGUUUAAUUUUGCUAAAAAUGCAAUCAUUUCUUCUCGGAGUCGUGUGUUACACUCUCUUAUUUAAAAUAAUAGGUUCCAAAUUGUCUAUUGAGGAGCUCACUCUUAUCACGAUGCCACUGGGAAUACUUGCUGCCGUGUUGUUAGCGUCAUUGCUUCUGAUAAUUUCUGUGGGACUACUGCGAGAAAACAUUUAUUGGCAAUGAACAGCUUUUCACCAGCACAACAUGUACCUACUACACCCUCCUUGAGACACCAUGAACAUGACUGGUGGGAGUCGCCUUAUGCUGUUGUACCAGAAACAGGUGACCCUCUUGAGAAUCCAGGGACGCCUGCAAUAUUGGUACCACGGACUCCACAGCAUCCCGUUCCUAGGUCUCUCUGGAGUACACCUCUACAUGAGGAUAGGGGCACAACACCUACAUUCAUGACUCCUUUAUCUUCAACAACCCCCACCCUCACAUCAUUACCAAGGACCACACCUAGACCAUUUCCGAGAGCAAUGUUCUUCCCGUGCGCCCAUACAUGGGAUCACACCAAUCCCUUCAGGAACGCCACCCCGUGGCAGUUGUUGCAAAACUCUCCGACAGCCAUCACAUCGGGGCGGGGAGCAAAUAGUUCCAUCUACGCCAAAGCUUGACGAAGCGGCUACUCCAACAUCUCAAUAUUGGAUAUCAACGAUAGAAGACAGGCGACAAAGUCCUGGGAGUAGAACACCAAGAGUUUUGUUGUCACCUCAUGUUCCAUCCACCAGUUACAGACAUUUAGACCUGUUUAAUGGGGACGACUACUUUGACUGAGAACGAUGCCAAACUUAGUAUCAAGAGUGUGACCCAGACAAUUCGUUCUUGUGUACGAGUUUGUAGGUCACUGUGGAAAUAAAACAUUUUCCGGGAU